This 141-nucleotide non-coding RNA is filed under the name Candidatus Gottesmanbacteria bacterium GW2011_GWA2_47_9. The record is from RNAcentral. Lineage: Bacteria; Candidatus Gottesmaniibacteriota.
AAAAGCAUAUUGAAAAAUCAACACUCGUUGACAUUGUCAAUAUUGCGUGCUCUAUGAAUUCAUCCGGAACACGAAAAUAUAGUAAGGAACACCUUCUUCGUUUGAUCGCGUGAAGAUAUAGUCUAAUUUUGAGAAUUUCAG